RNAcentral lists this ribosomal RNA (1491 nucleotides) under Triticum aestivum (bread wheat). RNAcentral's name for it is "partial small subunit ribosomal RNA". Lineage: Eukaryota; Viridiplantae; Streptophyta; Magnoliopsida; Poales; Poaceae. The record is from RNAcentral.
AUGACCUCCGCAGCAGCGCCGCCAACAUCGCUGCACCGCCCGGCGGUGAGCGCCACACACGCAGCCAGAGCGUCCGUCGCGGCGUCGAGCAACAGGGUGCACCUUGGUAACCUCGAGCACCUCUUCCGAAGCCGCGGUGCCGUCGAGAGCAGUGGGACCGCCGCGGCGCCUGUGCAGCCGGCACGGAGGAGGCAGCAGGCGCCGCUGCUGCGGCUACCGUCCUUCUUCAAGGGGGCCAAGGGCGACUUCGCCGUGGCCAAGGAGGAGCAGGUGGACUUGUCGCCGCGCCUGUUCCAGCCGGUGCCGCCCGACGGGCCGUCACCGCGUGGGGACAUCGCGGCGUCGUGGCGGCGGCUGCACGGCGAGGACGGCUGGCGCGGCCUGCUUGACCCGCUGCACCCGGACCUCCGCCGCGAGAUCGUCCGCUACGGGGAGUUCGUCGACGCCGCGUACGGCGCGUUCCUUUCCCAGCCCGACGCCACGCCGGGCGACAUCGCUGCCCCCGUGCACGUCCCGCUCCAGGACGCGGCCUACCGCGUCACGGCGCCACUGUUCGCGACCUCCUCCGUGAGCUUCCCGCCCUGGCUCGCGCUUGCCGCGCCGUGCGCCGCGCAGCGCACGAGCCUCGUCGGGUACGUGGCCGUGUGCGACAGCCCCGCCGAGGUCCGACGUAUGGGCCGGCGCGACAUAGUCAUCGCGCUCCGUGGCACCUGCACGGUCCUUGAGUGGGCCGAGAACUUCCGCGCCGGCCUCGUCCCGGCCACCGAAGCGGUCGACGCCGCAGCUUCGCCGGUCUCCGCCUCCGACGCAAAGGUGGAGUGCGGGUUCCGGAACCUUUACAAGACAGCCGGCGACGGUUCGCCGAGCUUGUCAGAAAUGGUCGUCACCGAAGUACGCAGACUACUCAAAAAGUAUGAGGGAGAGGAGGUGAGCAUCACGGUGACGGGUCACAGCCUGGGGGCGGCGCUGGCGGUGCUGAUCGCCGACGAGCUCGCGGGCCCCGGCGAUGCGCCGAAGCCAGUGACGGUGUUUUCGUUCGGCGGGCCGAGGGCGGGGAACCGCGCGUUCGCGGAGCGCGUGGAGGCCCGGGGCGCGCGCGUGCUCCGCGUGGUGAACGCGAACGACGUCGUGCCGCACCUCCCGCCGCGCCCCGGCGGCCGGUGGUACGCUGACGUCGGCCGCGAGCUCCGCCUUGACAGCCGCGCGUCCCCGUACCUCCGCCCCGAUGCCGACGCAGCCUGCUGCCACGACCUGGAGGCGUACAUCCACCUCGUCGACGGCUUCCUCAGCUCGCACUGCCCCUUCCGCGCCAACGCCAAGCGCAGCAUUCUGCGGCUGCUCAAGAACCAGGGUGGCAACGUCAAGCAGCUCUACAUCAGCAAGGCCAUGGACAUGCGCGUCCGGCUCGACGCCGGUGGCGCCGUUGACAUGCCUGGCUCGCCGCUCAGCCGUCUCGGUGCGCCGAGCAACGUGCUUAAGUGCGUGCACUGA